UGCGUGAAGCUGGAAUCGCUAGUAAUCGCGGAUCAGAAUGCCGCGGUGAAUACGUUCCCGGGUCUUGUACACACCGCCCGUCACACCAUGGGAGCCGGAAACGCCCGAAGCCAGUGGCCUGACCGCGAGGAGGGAGCUGUCGAAGGCGGGUCCGGUGACCGGGGCGAAGUCGUAACAAGGUAAC
RNAcentral lists this ribosomal RNA (184 nucleotides) under uncultured bacterium. Its description in RNAcentral is "partial 16S ribosomal RNA". It matches the Rfam family "Bacterial small subunit ribosomal RNA", at positions 1317 to 1500 of the family's 1533-position model. The record is from RNAcentral.